This 436-nucleotide ribosomal RNA is filed under the name uncultured gamma proteobacterium 400m-ATT-15. RNAcentral describes it as "bacterial SSU rRNA". It matches the Rfam family "Bacterial small subunit ribosomal RNA", at positions 8 to 447 of the family's 1533-position model. The record is from RNAcentral. Lineage: Bacteria; Pseudomonadati; Pseudomonadota; Gammaproteobacteria.
AGAGUUUGAUCAUGGCUCAGAUUGAACGCUGGCGGCAGGCCUAACACAUGCAAGUCGAACGGUAACAGGAAGUGCUUGCACUUCGCUGACGAGUGGCGGACGGGUGAGUAAUGCUUGGGAACUUGCCUUUGCGAGGGGGAUAACAGUUGGAAACGACUGCUAAUACCGCAUAAUGUCUACGGACCAAACGGGGCUUCGGCUCCGGCGCAAAGAGAGGCCCAAGUGAGAUUAGCUAGUUGGUAAGGUAAAGGCUUACCAAGGCAACGAUCUCUAGCUGUUCUGAGAAGAAGAUCAGCCACACUGGAAACUGAGACACGGUCCAGACUCCUACGGGAGGCAGCAGUGGGGAAUAUUGCACAAUGGGGGAAACCCUGAUGCAGCCAUGCCGCGUGUGUGAAGAAAGCCUUCGGGUUGUAAAGCACUUUCAGUUGUGAGG